RNAcentral lists this ribosomal RNA (492 nucleotides) under uncultured bacterium. RNAcentral describes it as "partial 16S ribosomal RNA". It matches the Rfam family "Bacterial small subunit ribosomal RNA", at positions 29 to 507 of the family's 1533-position model. The record is from RNAcentral.
AGUGAACGCUGGCGGUAGGCCUAACACAUGCAAGUCGAACGGCAGCACAGUAAGAGCUUGCUCUUACGGGUGGCGAGUGGCGGACGGGUUAGGAAUACAUCGGAAUCUACUUUUUCGUGGGGGAUAACGUAGGGAAACUUACGCUAAUACCGCAUACGACCUACGGGUGAAAGCAGGGGAUCUUCGGACCUUGCGCGAUUGAAUGAGCCGAUGUCGGAUUAGCUAGUUGGCGGGGUAAAGGCCCACCAAGGCGACGAUCCGUAGCUGGUCUGAGAGGAUGAUCAGCCACACUGGAACUGAGAAACGGUACAGACUCCUACGGGAGGCAGCAGUGGGGAAUAUUGGACAAUGGGCGCAAGCAUGAUCCAGCCAUACCGCGUGGGUGAAGAAGGCCUUCGGGUUGUAAAGCCCUUUUGUUGGGAAAGAAAAGCAGCAGGUUAAUACCCCGCUGUUCUGACGGUACCCAAAGAAUAAGCACCGGCUAACUUCGUG